GUUGUCCUUCUCCACUGGACUUGUCUGGAUGAGGCAGAGCAGCCUCCUUCAUAAAGGAACCAGGAGUAAUUUUGGGACCAUGACAGUGUUCAUUGGAAGCACCUUUUAAUCAAGAAGAAGUCCCAUGAAGUAGGGACCAUUAACCCCUCCAGCACUCCCUGGUGAAACCCAUGGAACCCAAAAGGUCUGCCCCACAAAACUGUGGUUCCCAACAUACCUUCUCAUUAAGGAUUCUUAAUCAAGCCCUUCCAGAAUGCCAGUGUAUCCACACCUGUCCAUCUCCUGGCUGCAGCAGGGAUCGCCCUUCCUAUUCGUUGGGCCUGCCUUUAGGCCAGAUGAGUGUUGUCCACUACCUCCCGACUCUGACUUGUCUGGAUGAGAUUUGAGGGGCUCUUUUUAUGCCAGACCUGGAUGCAUUUCUGGUUCUCUGAGGUGGGGAUGAUUUGUCCCUGCAGCUCCCCUUGGAGGCACCAAUGGACCACCUCAGAGCCGCACUACUGGACUACAACUCACAGCCAAUCCUGUGGGCAUCCAAGUCAGCACUAUAGUCAGAAGGACUGCCACUUGUUGUGUCGAGGUAACAAAUAGCCUACAAAAUUAUCGACGAUUCUUUCUACUAAACUGGCUUCUUGGUCAGGUGAGGGACCAUGGACCAUCCUGGCUGGAACGCCAGUCCUUGCCUGGUGAUGAAGCGGAAGCGGAAGCGGAAGUAGAAGCAGACAAUAG
Molecule: long non-coding RNA, 726 nt
Organism: Polypterus senegalus (gray bichir)
Lineage: Eukaryota; Metazoa; Chordata; Cladistia; Polypteriformes; Polypteridae
Exons: 4
Source: RefSeq, a predicted model, not a curated record